This 579-nucleotide long non-coding RNA is filed under the name Homo sapiens (human). RNAcentral describes it as "non-protein coding lnc-CEP44-1:1". The record is from RNAcentral. Lineage: Eukaryota; Metazoa; Chordata; Mammalia; Primates; Hominidae.
GGACUCUGCUCUGUCCUGAAAACCUGGAAUCAUAACAUUUCAUGGCUAGGACUAGAGUGUCCUUGGCGCUGUGUUUCUGGUCAGUGUCAAUUGUGUGUCAUAUUGAGAUGCCCCCACAAAAACUGUCAUCAUCAACAGGCGCUCCAGAGCCGCUGGUAGCCUACCAAAUUGUUGGCUCAAUGGAAUGCUUACUUGUUGAAAUACACCAACUUUGGAAGCUCUGAGUCAAGUUUGGGACAGAGGUUCCUUGCUCUCCAGGAACUCCAGGGCUAGCUGUAUGCGGACUUGCAUAAAUAACAAGGGCUAUUCCACUGACUUUGUCUCUUUUUCUCAGGUUGUCAGCGGCAGGCUGCAAUUUUAAUUCUGUAAACCGUGUAUUGCGCGUGUACUUUGGGUGGCCCUGUGCUGCGUCAGCUGGAAGGGAUCCAGAGAAAAAGACAGAGCCCUCUUUGAAGACAUCCAGAGAGAGAUCUAGGAUGUUGGGAAGGAACAAAGAAAUUCAGGCAUCUCUCCUGAGAAGAGAAAGGGAGUAGAAUGCUCCAUCAUGAUGCUAACCACAAGAAUUGACUUGACGGGACA